This 610-nucleotide ribosomal RNA is filed under the name uncultured bacterium. Its description in RNAcentral is "bacterial SSU rRNA". It matches the Rfam family "Bacterial small subunit ribosomal RNA", at positions 42 to 645 of the family's 1533-position model. The record is from RNAcentral.
ACAGGCCUAACACAUGCAAGUCGAGGGGCAGCGAGGAUUAGCAAUAAUUUGUCGGCGACCGGCGCACGGGUGAGUAACACGUAUGCAACCUACCUUCAACACGGGGAUAACCCGUUGAAAGACGGACUAAUAUCCGAUAAUACAGGGGCACCGCUUGGUGAUAUUUGUUAAAGAUUAAUCGGUUGAAGAUGGGCAUGCGUAUGAUUAGCUAGUUGGCGGGUAACGGCCCACCAAGGCAACGAUCAUUAGGGGUUCUGAGAGGAAGGUCCCCCACACUGGUACUGAGACACGGACCAGACUCCUACGGGAGGCAGCAGUGAGGAAUAUUGGUCAAUGGGCGCGAGCCUGAACCAGCCAAGUCGCGUGAAGGAUGACGGUCCUAUGGAUUGUAAACUUCUUUUGUGCAGGAAUAAAGUGAGGAACGUGUUCCUUUUUGUAUGUACUGUACGAAUAAGCAUCGGCUAACUCCGUGCCAGCAGCCGCGGUAAUACGGAGGAUGCGAGCGUUAUCCGGAUUUAUUGGGUUUAAAGGGUGCGUAGGCGGGCUGAUAAGUCAGUGGUGAAAGUUUGCAGCUUAACUGUAAAAUUGCCAUUGAAACUGUUAGUCUUGA